Girardinichthys multiradiatus is the source of this 1953-nucleotide long non-coding RNA. RefSeq lists it as uncharacterized. NCBI's taxonomy places the organism in Eukaryota, Metazoa, Chordata, Actinopteri, Cyprinodontiformes, Goodeidae. The record is from RefSeq and is a predicted model, not a curated record. The transcript has 5 exons.
GUGUGUGAACGUGUGUGUGUGAAGUGAGAGAAUAACUGAGAGAAUCACUAGAAAAUUAGCUCCCUGAUAGGAGCAGGCUUAGAGACAUGGAGGACAAAUAUAAUAGCAAGUUUCAACCACAAAGACGCUUUAACAGGUUAAAACAACAGUUUAAUGGAGUUUGUUUGGGUCCCGGAAAUAAUUGUCGAGUCACCAGAAAAAGGGAGACAAACAACAUUGAAAACAUAUCUAUACCCAAAAGCAGGGUCGCAGGGGGGCUGGUAUCUAUCUCCAGCAGUCAUUAAGUGAGAGGUGGGGAACACCCUGGACAGUUCGGCAGUUCACCACAGGGCAACACAGAAACAUAAAGGACAAACAACCAUGCACAAACACACCAAUACCUAAGGAAAACUUAGAGUGACCAAUUGACCUAACAGUCAUGUUUUUGGACUAUAUGUAAGGAAGCCAGAGGACAUGGAGGAAACAGACAAGCACAUGGGGAGUAAAUAAACAGUGUUAGUAGUGUGUAAAUCCACCUUGUUUCAUCAAAUACUUCAUAAAGAGCAGUGGCGGUUUCUGAUAUGUGUUGUAUGGCUUCCUGCCCAGGACAUUAUUGUCUACGGAGUAAGUGUCAAACAUCAGUCCUUGAGGGCAGGUGUCCUACAAGUUUUAGAUGCAGCUUUGCUUUACCACACCUGAAUUAAAUAAUUAGGUCAUUAGCAGAACUUGACUGCAUGCUGAAGAGGCAAAAAGCCAUUUGAUUCAGGUGUGUUGAACCAGGGACACAUCUUAAAGUUGCAGCACUGGAAUAUUUAUGGGUGCAGGUAUUUAAAAAAAUAAAACAAUAAUAAAGCUUAAAAGCUGAGCUUUCUUGUCCCAAUCUAAUCAAAUCCUAUAGCAAAUUAAUUUAUAAUACAUUGUAUGACUGGUAUGUUUGCUGUCAAGAGGAAAAGGGGAAUUUUACUCUCUUUGCCUAAAAAUUGACCAUCCAGAUUUGUUUUCGGACAGACACAAGCCUGUAGAAUUUCACUGACAGUUGAUGCAACAGACUAAAUCAAGUGUACAUUAGGUUGUUUAGGUGAGCUUAACUGUUAAAAUAAAAGUAUAUUUUAACUUUUAGACAUUAACAAAAUGAAAAGAAAAUGCAGAAUUAGUAUUUAAGCUAAACAGUGUGAACAGUUUAUACUAGUAUAUACACUUCUUAUCUACCACAUUUGAGCAAUUUAGGUUUUCUUUGGUCAGUCAAAUUAACUGAGAUUCAGGUGCAUGUUUUUGAUGGAAUGGUAUCAGAAAGUUGGUGCUACUUUUUACCACUGAUUACCUCUGAAAGGAAAAUGGAUGAGAGGUGCAGAAAGCAGAUGUCAGGGCAACAGACAUCAAACUAAAUAAGCAGACAGUCCCCAGAAUUAAAGCCGGCUUUCCCCCCUAAGACAAGGAAAAGUACAGAUGACCUGCUUAGGUUCAUAAUGAUAACAGUAGGAAUAAGAAUGAUUCCUGCAGUUGAGAGAGUCCGCAAUGCAUCUGCACACCUUCAAAUAACUUUAUUUUAUUCUAUCAUCAAGGUGUAGAUAGAAUGUUAAUGCUUUAUGAAAAACAAUUAUCUAAAAAUAAAUUUAACUCUAAUCUUGGGCUUAUUUUAUCAUUUCUUUUUGUAAUUUUCCUCUUGCCUUUUAGAACUUUUUGUGAUCUGGAUCAAAAAGAAAAGCCAUUAAAUUUGCUGGAUCAGGGACCCAGAUGCAGCCUAAAUCCAGCUGCUGGUGGAUCAUGUCAAAUCAUACCUUCUAUAUAUGUUUCAGACACCAUCACUCCAUCACAGGGAAUGUCCUUUCCUCUACUUUUGAGAAUGAAGCCGGCAGCCACACAUUUGGCAGCAACCUGAAGUUUGUCAGCUGCUGAGCCAUCAGCACUCCCAGAAGUGACUCUGGGAUCCGUGGGGGAAGCCUGACAUCGAGCGAAGCACCGCUGCACAGCCUC